GCGUGGUGCGCUCCCCAUUUUUGGUGGCUUUUUUUGCGUUCCCGCGUGGCGUGGUGUGCUCGUUCGCUCGCCAGCGCGAUGACGCGAUCCCGGUGUCGUUAGCUCGUUCUCCUUUUUGUCGGGGCGCGGGGAGUGAGGAGGGAGGGAGCAGGCGGCGGUGAGGGAGGGUGGAGGAGGAGGAGGAGGAGGAUGCGAGAUCCUCGGGGCGGCGGCUGACGAUGAGGAGGUGGCGGAGCGGAGAAGGGGGAGGAACGGAAGGGUAGCGAGCAGAAGUCCGACGUCGCCACUAAGGGCUAGACUCGGCAGAAAAGAAAAGGGCAGGGUGAGCGGAGGGGGAGGAGCAGUGGGAGGAGAGAGAGAGAGGGGGCGCCGAUCCUAAGCCCGAUCCCAAGCCCGCGGAAGGGAAGAGAGGAGGAGAUGGGUUGCGGCGGAGGGGAGGAAAGAGAGGAAGAGGUGAUUGCUCCGGCCCGGUCCUCGUCGCUCCGGCCCCGCCGCCGCGCCUGUUCUUUGACACCCGAGAGGAGGCGUUUAGAGAUGGCCCUGCUGCCAUCGGCCUCCUCCUAGGGGCCAGUUGUCGCGGGGCCCGCGAGUGACGGUUCUUCGGCGGCCUCCUCCUUGAGCUGGACCUGCUGGCGGCGACCUGCUUCUCGGGGCUUUUUUUAGGGGGUUGGUGGGGACGCGGUGGCGGAGAAGUGGAAGCUGGUGCCCAACGUUGCCAGUCUCCUGGUUCAACCUCGUAUGAUCCAUUUACCCGGAACGGCACUCAGCACCACGUUGUCACUGGAGCUAACCGUCCCGUUACCAGUCUAUGCUCAGUCGUGGUUUCUACUGACAUUCGUGAGUUUUUUCAAAUGGUGCGAUCUCGAUACAGUCCACGGAUGACAAGAAAACACGAAAAACAAAAGAUAAAGGGCAGUCUUCGAGUAAGGUAUUAGUUAAACGUCCAACAUGCCCCCGUCAAUUACUUAUAUGAACACUGUGAAUAUGAGUCGUUACGGCUGUUUGUACCAAAUACUACUAUAACCACCAGACUUCGAAAUCUAGCAGCCCCGACGAGAGUAAGCAAGUUAAACGGUCACUAGGAAGGUAAGAUGACGACGAGUAAUAAUAGUAUACUUCCUCCGACUAGAUACAAGAGACAAACAACCCAGGAAGCACAGUAAUACUUGUUCCUUGUACAUAUUGGAAAGUUCAAGUGACUACACCAAUGGUGAUGUUGUGUGCAGGGAGAUUCCUGGUUCCCACCCGUACUAGAAGAUGUUCCAACAGACACUGAUAAUCAUGCCCUAGUUGAAACGCCACAGGGGUAGCGAAGUUCAGUUCGAUUAUCUCGAUUUACCCAUAGGUUAAAAUCUUUCGUGUGAAUUCUUUGUACGUGUGCACAGAAAUCUAGGAUACCUCGUAAGGAUUAUUACUGGUAGAUAAAUUGAUAGAACCUAGUAAUGGUAAUGUUUUACGUCGUACCGUAAGUAUUACAAGUCAAUAAGUAUUUACACCGUAAAUUAAUAAGAGAACCGUACUAUAAAUUCGUACAACGUAUAUGGUUAGACAACUAUUAAGUUAAUAACUAAGACUACAUGUUUGUACGUUUUGGUAACGGACAAACCUACUACGUGUACUCAUACAAAAACAAUCAAAAGCCACUACAUACAGCACUUCGCCCUGCCCGCCUGCCUCUGCCACGUGAAGCUGUUCUAGUGCCACACCAAGUUCUUCGAGUCGAUACCCGAGUCGGUCCUCGUGGCGCUGGGGCACGAGCCAGACGCAGUCCCAUAUGUACCCGCAGUGGUGGUCGGUCGAGCUGCUCGAGCGGCGGCUCUGGCGGCGGCGCGAGUGCCGGAGGGUCGGACUGAUACGGAGGGAGCGCCGUUCCUAACAACACGGGUUGGACGGCGGUUCACCUUUAUCAGACACACCGCGAACAUUUAUCUCUCGUAAGACCAUCUUUCGACUUUCUAAUCGUUCUGACCGAUUUAAGACUUGUACAAGGUACACUCUCUUUAUCGUACAACUAAAGUAGAACUUUAUUAGUAUCGACUCCCUGCUCGAAGCAUUGAUUCCCAGUACACAUCUCGACUUCCUUCUUCAACGCUCCGAACCUUGAGAGGAACACUUCCCGAGUCCUGUCGUCACUCCUGUUACGGAGAAAUCAACAUUAACACUAUGAGGACUAGACGUUCAUUUGUGAGGACACUAUGAUUUACAACCAACAAUCAUGUCUCCACCACUGUAAUCAACCAAGAGACCAUAACUAAAGUACUAAACACCAAUUAUGUACUACAUUAUGUUAGGUGUGACGUAAUAUAAAGGUCAAUGUAGAAAAUGAAUGAGUGAU
RNAcentral lists this ribosomal RNA (2335 nucleotides) under Triticum aestivum (bread wheat). RNAcentral's name for it is "partial small subunit ribosomal RNA". Lineage: Eukaryota; Viridiplantae; Streptophyta; Magnoliopsida; Poales; Poaceae. The record is from RNAcentral.